AGAUUAGAUUCAGUAGGUGACCUGCGGAGGAUCAUUA
Molecule: ribosomal RNA, 37 nt
Filed under: uncultured Tylospora
Lineage: Eukaryota; Fungi; Basidiomycota; Agaricomycetes; Atheliales; Atheliaceae
Description: partial 18S ribosomal RNA
Source: RNAcentral